RNAcentral lists this ribosomal RNA (1348 nucleotides) under metagenome. RNAcentral's name for it is "bacterial SSU rRNA". It matches the Rfam family "Bacterial small subunit ribosomal RNA", at positions 139 to 1498 of the family's 1533-position model. The record is from RNAcentral.
UGGGAUAUACAGGUGAAAACCUGGGCAAUACCGGAUGUGACAGAAGAUUGGCAUCUUUCUUCUAUCAAAGGAGCAAUUCGCUUCAGGAACGGUUCAUGACUCAUCAGCUAGUUGGUAGGGUAAAGGCCUACCAAGGCUACGACGGGUAGGGGGUCUGAGAGGAUGAUCCCCCCGAGAGGGACUGAGACACGGCCCUCACACCUACGGGUGGCAGCAGUUAGGAAUCGUUGUCAAUGGGGGAAACCCUGAACACGCGACGCCGCGUGGAGGAUGAAGGAUUUAGGUCUGUAAACUCCUUUUACCAGGAAAGACUUAGGACGGUACCUGGUGAAUAAGCUCCGGCUAACUACGUGCCAGCAGCCGCGGUGAUACGUAGGGAGCAAGCGUUGUCCGGAUUUACUGGGCGUAAAGGGCGCGUAGGCGGCUCAUUAAGUGUGUGGUGAAAUCUCUGUGCUCAACGCAGAAAUUGCCACGCAUACUGGCGAGCUUGAGGGACGUAGAGGUGAAUAGAAUUUCCGGUGUAGCGGUGACAUGCGAUCAUAUCGGAAGGAAUACCAAUGGCGAAGGCAGUUCACUGGACGUUUCCUGACGCUGAGGCGCGAAAGCGUGGGUAGCAAACAGAAUUAGAUACUCUGGUAGUCCACGCCCUAAACGAUGGAUGCUAGGCGUUGGGGGUAUCGACCCCUCCAGUGCCGCAGCUAACGCAUUAAGCAUCCCGCCUGGGGAGUACGGCCGCAAGGUUGAAACUCAAAUGAAUUGACGGGACCCCGCACAAGCGGUGGAGCAUGUGGAUUAAUACGAUACUAACCGUAGAACCUUACCCAGGUUUGACAUCGCGGGCAAGCCUGUGAAAGCAGGCCCUCCUCCACAAGAGGACCCAAAGACACCUGUUGCAUGGCUGUCGUCAGCUCGUGCCGUGAGGUGUUUGGUUAAGUCCAGCAACGAGCGCAACCCUCGUCUUAUGUUGCCAGCGGGUAAAGCCGGGAACUCAUGAGAGACUGCCUGUGUAAGCAGGAGGAAGGUGGGGAUGACGUCAAGUCAGCAUGGCGGUUACGCCUGGGGCUUCACACAUGCUACAAUGGGCGAAACAGAGCGCAGCAAUACCGCGAGGUGGAGCUAAUCACAAAAAUACGUCCUCAGUUCAGAUUGCAGUCUGCAACUCGACUGCAUGAAGGUGGAAUCGCUAGUAAACGCAGAUCAGCUAUGCUGCGUUGAAUACGUUCCCGGGGUUUGUACACACCGCCCGUCAAGUCACCCGAGUCGUUUUCACCCGAAGUCCGUGGCCCAACCGAAAGGAGGGAGCGGCCGAAGGUGGGGGGGGCGAGGGGGACUAAGUCGGAACAAGGUA